UGCCCCUCACUUGCCAAUACGUCUAGAUCAGCCAGGGCGUCGGCAUGUGUAGCGUAUUAUGUUGGGCUCUCUCGAGAUAAGGAUACGAUGUCCCUUUAUCGGUUGGUUUCCUGUGUGUGCGGCCCGUUCGUUUUUUUCGUUACUUUCGCAUCGUUCGGUGCAUUCUGGGGGCUGUGUUGGCUUUUGGUGGCUUGCUUGGCCUUUUGGCUUUGCUUGUUGCUACUUGUCGGGCUGCUUUCGGGAAUGUCGACCGUGGAGGUGCAUGAGUGGUGUUUGGUUUGUUACGUGUGGAUGACUGUUUGCUUGUGCAACAACGUUCACGCUGCAUACCUCUUCAGUUUUGCGGCAAGGCUUGGUUUGGCUUGUGCAUAUUGUGGGCUUCCUGUGUUGCAUACCUAGUUGAUGGAAAAGUGUGGGUUUUACGAUUUUCAUUUUCGUCUUGCGUCGUUCUUUUGGCGUGGGAUGAACAAUGAAGCGAUCUUUAUGAUCCAUCGUGCUGUUGCGUUUGCAACAAUGAUGUGGCCUAUGAAGCAUCGUUUGGUCUCUUGUAUACGGAAGCUCAUUUGGGCUUGGGUCUUUAUAAGAUCUUCGUUACGCCCUUGUUAAGCGUUCUCGCUUCUCCUAAACGAUUG
RNAcentral lists this unclassified non-coding RNA (632 nucleotides) under Centaurea tentudaica. Its description in RNAcentral is "partial external transcribed spacer". The record is from RNAcentral. Lineage: Eukaryota; Viridiplantae; Streptophyta; Magnoliopsida; Asterales; Asteraceae.